RNAcentral lists this ribosomal RNA (2901 nucleotides) under Escherichia coli OK1357. Its description in RNAcentral is "23S ribosomal RNA". The record is from RNAcentral. Lineage: Bacteria; Pseudomonadati; Pseudomonadota; Gammaproteobacteria; Enterobacterales; Enterobacteriaceae.
AAGGUUAAGCCUCACGGUUCAUUAGUACCGGUUAGCUCAACGCAUCGCUGCGCUUACACACCCGGCCUAUCAACGUCGUCGUCUUCAACGUUCCUUCAGGACUCUCAAGGAGUCAGGGAGAACUCAUCUCGGGGCAAGUUUCGUGCUUAGAUGCUUUCAGCACUUAUCUCUUCCGCAUUUAGCUACCGGGCAGUGCCAUUGGCAUGACAACCCGAACACCAGUGAUGCGUCCACUCCGGUCCUCUCGUACUAGGAGCAGCCCCCCUCAAUUCUCCAGCGCCCACGGCAGAUAGGGACCGAACUGUCUCACGACGUUCUAAACCCAGCUCGCGUACCACUUUAAAUGGCGAACAGCCAUACCCUUGGGACCUACUUCAGCCCCAGGAUGUGAUGAGCCGACAUCGAGGUGCCAAACACCGCCGUCGAUAUGAACUCUUGGGCGGUAUCAGCCUGUUAUCCCCGGAGUACCUUUUAUCCGUUGAGCGAUGGCCCUUCCAUUCAGAACCACCGGAUCACUAUGACCUGCUUUCGCACCUGCUCGCGCCGUCACGCUCGCAGUCAAGCUGGCUUAUGCCAUUGCACUAACCUCCUGAUGUCCGACCAGGAUUAGCCAACCUUCGUGCUCCUCCGUUACUCUUUAGGAGGAGACCGCCCCAGUCAAACUACCCACCAGACACUGUCCGCAACCCGGAUUACGGGUCAACGUUAGAACAUCAAACAUUAAAGGGUGGUAUUUCAAGGUCGGCUCCAUGCAGACUGGCGUCCACACUUCAAAGCCUCCCACCUAUCCUACACAUCAAGGCUCAAUGUUCAGUGUCAAGCUAUAGUAAAGGUUCACGGGGUCUUUCCGUCUUGCCGCGGGUACACUGCAUCUUCACAGCGAGUUCAAUUUCACUGAGUCUCGGGUGGAGACAGCCUGGCCAUCAUUACGCCAUUCGUGCAGGUCGGAACUUACCCGACAAGGAAUUUCGCUACCUUAGGACCGUUAUAGUUACGGCCGCCGUUUACCGGGGCUUCGAUCAAGAGCUUCGCUUGCGCUAACCCCAUCAAUUAACCUUCCGGCACCGGGCAGGCGUCACACCGUAUACGUCCACUUUCGUGUUUGCACAGUGCUGUGUUUUUAAUAAACAGUUGCAGCCAGCUGGUAUCUUCGACUGAUUUCAGCUCCAUCCGCGAGGGACUUCACCUACAUAUCAGCGUGCCUUCUCCCGAAGUUACGGCACCAUUUUGCCUAGUUCCUUCACCCGAGUUCUCUCAAGCGCCUUGGUAUUCUCUACCUGACCACCUGUGUCGGUUUGGGGUACGAUUUGAUGUUACCUGAUGCUUAGAGGCUUUUCCUGGAAGCAGGGCAUUUGUUGCUUCAGCACCGUAGUGCCUCGUCAUCACGCCUCAGCCUUGAUUUUCCGGAUUUGCCUGGAAAACCAGCCUACACGCUUAAACCGGGACAACCGUCGCCCGGCCAACAUAGCCUUCUCCGUCCCCCCUUCGCAGUAACACCAAGUACAGGAAUAUUAACCUGUUUCCCAUCGACUACGCCUUUCGGCCUCGCCUUAGGGGUCGACUCACCCUGCCCCGAUUAACGUUGGACAGGAACCCUUGGUCUUCCGGCGAGCGGGCUUUUCACCCGCUUUAUCGUUACUUAUGUCAGCAUUCGCACUUCUGAUACCUCCAGCAUGCCUCACAGCACACCUUCGCAGGCUUACAGAACGCUCCCCUACCCAACAACGCAUCAGCGUCGCUGCCGCAGCUUCGGUGCAUGGUUUAGCCCCGUUACAUCUUCCGCGCAGGCCGACUCGACCAGUGAGCUAUUACGCUUUCUUUAAAUGAUGGCUGCUUCUAAGCCAACAUCCUGGCUGUCUGGGCCUUCCCACAUCGUUUCCCACUUAACCAUGACUUUGGGACCUUAGCUGGCGGUCUGGGUUGUUUCCCUCUUCACGACGGACGUUAGCACCCGCCGUGUGUCUCCCGUGAUAACAUUCUCCGGUAUUCGUAGUUUGCAUCGGGUUGGUAAGUCGGGAUGACCCCCUUGCCGAAACAGUGCUCUACCCCCGGAGAUGAAUUCACGAGGCGCUACCUAAAUAGCUUUCGGGGAGAACCAGCUAUCUCCCGGUUUGAUUGGCCUUUCACCCCCAGCCACAAGUCAUCCGCUAAUUUUUCAACAUUAGUCGGUUCGGUCCUCCAGUUAGUGUUACCCAACCUUCAACCUGCCCAUGGCUAGAUCACCGGGUUUCGGGUCUAUACCCUGCAACUUAACGCCCAGUUAAGACUCGGUUUCCCUUCGGCUCCCCUAUUCGGUUAACCUUGCUACAGAAUAUAAGUCGCUGACCCAUUAUACAAAAGGUACGCAGUCACCCCAUAAAGAGGCUCCCACUGCUUGUACGUACACGGUUUCAGGUUCUUUUUCACUCCCCUCGCCGGGGUUCUUUUCGCCUUUCCCUCACGGUACUGGUUCACUAUCGGUCAGUCAGGAGUAUUUAGCCUUGGAGGAUGGUCCCCCCAUAUUCAGACAGGAUACCACGUGUCCCGCCCUACUCAUCGAGCUCACAGCAUGUGCAUUUUUGUGUACGGGGCUGUCACCCUGUAUCGCGCGCCUUUCCAGACGCUUCCACUAACACACACACUGAUUCAGGCUCUGGGCUGCUCCCCGUUCGCUCGCCGCUACUGGGGGAAUCUCGGUUGAUUUCUUUUCCUCGGGGUACUUAGAUGUUUCAGUUCCCCCGGUUCGCCUCAUUAACCUAUGGAUUCAGUUAAUGAUAGUGUGACGAAUCACACUGGGUUUCCCCAUUCGGAAAUCGCCGGUUAUAACGGUUCAUAUCACCUUACCGACGCUUAUCGCAGAUUAGCACGUCCUUCAUCGCCUCUGACUGCCAGGGCAUCCACCGUGUACGCUUAGUCGCUUAA